RNAcentral lists this ribozyme (66 nucleotides) under unclassified sequences. Its description in RNAcentral is "pistol ribozyme". It matches the Rfam family "Pistol ribozyme". The record is from RNAcentral.
AGUCGUCAGGGCGACUAUAAACAGCCAUUAGGCCCUGUAGCGUCCCCUUUGAGGAGGGGGGUUGGA